AAUAGAUACCCUGGUAGUCCACGCCGUAAACGAUGAGUGCUAAGUGUUAGAGGGUUUCCGCCCUUUAGUGCUGCAGCUAACGCAUUAAGCACUCCGCCUGGGGAGUACGGCCGCAAGGCUGAAACUCAAAGGAAUUGACGGGGGCCCGCACAAGCGGUGGAGCAUGUGGUUUAAUUCGAAGCAACGCGAAGAACCUUACCAGGUCUUGACAUCCUUUGCCAACCCUAGAGAUAGGGCGUUCCCCUUCGGGGGACAGAGUGACAGGUGGUGCAUGGUUGUCGUCAGCUCGUGUCGUGAGAUGUUGGGUUAAGUCCCGCAACGAGCGCAACCCUUGAUCUUAGUUGCCAGCAUUCAGUUGGGCACUCUAAGGUGACUGCCGGUGACAAACCGGAGGAAGGUGGGGAUGACGUCAAAUCAUCAUGCCCCUUAUGACCUGGGCUACACACGUGCUACAAUGGAUGGUACAAAGAGCUGCGAACCCGCGAGGGUAAGCGAAUCUCAUAAAGCCAUUCUCAGUUCGGA
RNAcentral lists this ribosomal RNA (522 nucleotides) under uncultured bacterium. RNAcentral's name for it is "bacterial SSU rRNA". It matches the Rfam family "Bacterial small subunit ribosomal RNA", at positions 777 to 1297 of the family's 1533-position model. The record is from RNAcentral.